GUGCCAGCCGCCGCGGUAAUACGGAGGGUGCAAGCGUUAAUGGGAAUUACUGGGCGUAAAGCGCGCGUAGGCGGUUAUAUAAGUCGGAUGUGAAAGCCCUGGGCUCAACCUGGGAACUGCAUUCGAUACUGUAUAACUAGAGUUUGGUAGAGGGAAGUGGAAUUCCACAUGUGGCGGUGAAAUGCGUAGAUAUGUGGAGGAACACCAGUGGCGAAGGCGACUUCCUGGACCAAAACUGACGCUGAGGUGCGAAAGCGUGGGUAGCAAACAGGAUUAGAAACCCGGGUAGUCC
RNAcentral lists this ribosomal RNA (292 nucleotides) under uncultured bacterium. RNAcentral's name for it is "partial 16S ribosomal RNA". It matches the Rfam family "Bacterial small subunit ribosomal RNA", at positions 505 to 796 of the family's 1533-position model. The record is from RNAcentral.